This 184-nucleotide ribosomal RNA is filed under the name uncultured eukaryote. Its description in RNAcentral is "partial 18S ribosomal RNA". It matches the Rfam family "Eukaryotic small subunit ribosomal RNA", at positions 1299 to 1458 of the family's 1831-position model. The record is from RNAcentral.
UGGUGGAGUGAUUUGUCUGCUUAAUUGCGUUAACGAACGAGACCUUAACCUGCUAAAUAGCCACGCGAAUGGCCGAUGCGUGAAGCGUGAGACCUCGGUUGAGCGUGGAUCGUGGCAUGAUUCGUGGCAGGCUUCUUAGAGGGACUAUUCUGCGUCUAGCGAAUGGAAGUUUGAGGCAAUAACA